This 298-nucleotide ribosomal RNA is filed under the name uncultured bacterium. Its description in RNAcentral is "partial 16S ribosomal RNA". It matches the Rfam family "Bacterial small subunit ribosomal RNA", at positions 30 to 326 of the family's 1533-position model. The record is from RNAcentral.
AUUGAACGCUGGCGGCGUGCUUAACACAUGCAAGUCGUGCGGUAACAGGCGUAGCAAUACGUGCUGACGAGCGGCGAACGGGUGCGUAAUACAUGGGAAUCUGCCUUUUAGUGGGGAAUAACCCGGCGAAAGCCGGGCUAAUGCCGCAUAAGAUCUUCGGAUGAAAGCGGGGGAGUCGUAAGACUCGCGCUGAUAGAUGAGCCCACUGCCGGAUUAGCAGUUGGUGAGGUAACGGCUCACCAAGGCGACGAUCCGUAGCUGGUCUGAGAGGACGGCCAGCCACACUGGGACUGAGACA